GAAAUAAGAGAAAACAUUGUUUUCAGAUAAAAAAAGUAAUACAGCAAAUGGUAAAAAAAAUACACAAAAUCAUGGCAAACUUUGAUUUACUGAGAGACCAGUUGAAAAUGUUAGUAAAAACACAGAAAGAAGCUUGUGUACAAUGUAAUUUUCAUUUUCAUAUAUAAGAAACAUAAUAUAUGGCUCCGAUGAAUGAUACAAAAAUAUAUAAUAAUACUUCGUGCAUACAAA
RNAcentral lists this long non-coding RNA (231 nucleotides) under Mytilus galloprovincialis (Mediterranean mussel). The record is from RNAcentral. Lineage: Eukaryota; Metazoa; Mollusca; Bivalvia; Mytilida; Mytilidae.